This 510-nucleotide ribosomal RNA is filed under the name uncultured bacterium. Its description in RNAcentral is "partial 16S ribosomal RNA". It matches the Rfam family "Bacterial small subunit ribosomal RNA", at positions 28 to 507 of the family's 1533-position model. The record is from RNAcentral.
GACGAACGCUGGCGGCGUGCUUAACACAUGCAAGUCGAACGAAGAGCGACGGAAGCUUGCUUCUAUCAAUCUUAGUGGCGAACGGGUGAGUAACGCGUAAUCAACCUGCCCUUCAGAGGGGGACAACAGUUGGAAACGACUGCUAAUACCGCAUACGAUCUAACCUCGGCAUCGAGGAUAGAUGAAAGGUGGCCUCUACAUGUAAGCUAUCACUGAAGGAGGGGAUUGCGUCUGAUUAGCUAGUUGGAGGGGUAACGGCCCACCAAGGCGAUGAUCAGUAGCCGGUCUGAGAGGAUGAACGGCCACAUUGGGACUGGGACACGGCCCAGACUCCUACGGGAGGCAGCAGUGGGGAAUCUUCCGCAAUGGACGAAAGUCUGACGGAGCAACGCCGCGUGAGUGAUGACGGCCGUCGGGUUGUAAAGCUCUGUUAAUCGGGACGAAAGGCCUUCUUGCGAAUAGUGAGAAGGAUUGACGGUACCGGAAUAGAAAGCCACGGCUAACUACGUG